CUCACCACAGGGUGGCGCUGAUGCUCUGCCUCCCCUACGUUUUUCUCUUCUUAGGUCCCUUUGCAGCGGAUCAGAUUAUGUCCGGUCUCUGUGCCCAUUGAUGCAGUCUGAGUAGCAGGAGCCCUUCAGCCCCACGGUGACAUGGGCUGUUACGUGUUUGAAUGAUUAAUCCUUCCUCUUCCUAUUCCAGGCCAGAAGGGCUGAGGUGCUGUUUCCCGAGGAGCUGUUCCAGGACUAGCGAGGAGCCUUUCCAAGCGUCACAGAAGGACGGGCCAGAGUUAACAUGGCAUCGAGUUGUUUGUUGCAUAAUAAAGCUGCUGCUGAUUUCCAA
Molecule: non-coding RNA, 331 nt
Organism: Chrysemys picta bellii (western painted turtle)
Lineage: Eukaryota; Metazoa; Chordata; Testudines; Emydidae
Source: RefSeq, a predicted model, not a curated record